GCAUGUACAAGAGGUGCCCAUCUAAAAUAUGUCAGGUAGUUGGGGCGCCAACUCUUGGUGCCCCACAAUAGGAUUUCUAGCCAAAUAAGAAGGGGUGUGGCCCCACCUCUCUUUCCUCCAUGCCAUGCCAUAUAAGAGGAGGUGGGCUCCUCUAGGAUUUGGUGCCCAAUUCCUACCAAAAGAGAAGGAAGGCGCCACCCAAUCUUUCAUUUAUUCUACAUGCACACUUAGAGAUAAUUAGGAG
RNAcentral lists this long non-coding RNA (244 nucleotides) under Elaeis guineensis (African oil palm). RNAcentral's name for it is "long non-coding RNA (EGUI_LNC034898)". The record is from RNAcentral. Lineage: Eukaryota; Viridiplantae; Streptophyta; Magnoliopsida; Arecales; Arecaceae.